RNAcentral lists this long non-coding RNA (706 nucleotides) under Glycine max (soybean). Its description in RNAcentral is "long non-coding RNA (GMAX_LNC000015)". The record is from RNAcentral. Lineage: Eukaryota; Viridiplantae; Streptophyta; Magnoliopsida; Fabales; Fabaceae.
UUGAAUGCACGCAUUCAAUACAACGACGUUUGUUAAUACAACACCGUCGUUGUAACAAUUUUUUAAAUUAUUUUUCAUCUCUGAAAAAAUCGUGUCACCAUUACCUAGCUUUCUUGUUUUCGUUGUGCCCUUCAUCCCUAGCCGCACACGUAACCCCCUUCAUCUGAGAAAAAGUUUUUUUUCAUGUUUGUGUUACCUACCCUCCGCCGUCGUGGCCUCCUUCGUGGGCUUCCGCAGUUUGUGGGUCGUGCGUAACUCCGGCCUAGGUUGUUGUUGGUGAGGUAAGUAAAGUUUGGAUGUCAUUUUUUAUCAAACAUAAUGUUGCAUUGCAUUAGGACAAACACGACCUACUUGGGUUUGUGAAUGCAUGUUGCAAUUCUUGCAUUGCAUUGAAAAAUAGCGUUGUAGAAGUUGAUUCAUGUAAUUUUUUUUCUGUGUACACUAGUAAAAUCCUACCUCUUGUGAGAAUAAGCACAACUUAGUUUUGAAUGUUUGGAAUAGAACCAAGGAAAGUUUAAAAGAUAAAAGGCUUUGCCAUUUUAAAAUUUUCGAGGAUUUGUGCUUCUCGUGAUUGAACAUAAUCCUUUUAAGUGCAAUUGAGUAGAUCAAUGAUGUAUUUCCUUAUAAUGUGUAGCACUAUAAUGGAAUAGCAGAGUGGGACAGCAUUAGGCUGCUGUUUGAUUCAAAUAACAGACAUAAUAGAAGG